Molecule: ribosomal RNA, 429 nt
Filed under: Gemmatimonadota bacterium
Lineage: Bacteria; Pseudomonadati; Gemmatimonadota
Description: Gemmatimonadetes bacterium partial 16S ribosomal RNA
Rfam family: Bacterial small subunit ribosomal RNA
Source: RNAcentral
UAGGGAAUCUUCGGCAAUGGACGAAAGUCUGACCGAGCAACGCCGCGUGAGUGAAGAAGGUUUUCGGAUCGUAAAACUCUGUUGUUAGAGAAGAACAAGGACGUUAGUAACUGAACGUCCCCUGACGGUAUCUAACCAGAAAGCCACGGCUAACUACGUGCCAGCAGCCGCGGUAAUACGUAGGUGGCAAGCGUUGUCCGGAUUGAUUGGGCGUAAAGCGAGCGCAGGCGGUUUCUUAAGUCUGAUGUGAAAGCCCCCGGCUCAACCGGGGAGGGUCAUUGGAAACUGGGAGACUUGAGUGCAGAAGAGGAGAGUGGAAUUCCAUGUGUAGGGGUGAAAUGAGUAGAUAUAUGGAGGAACACCAGUGGCGAAGGCGGCUCUCUGGUCUGUAACUGACGCUGAGGUUCGAAAGCGAGGGGAGCAAACAGG